This 276-nucleotide ribosomal RNA is filed under the name uncultured Nitrosomonadales bacterium. RNAcentral describes it as "partial 16S ribosomal RNA". It matches the Rfam family "Bacterial small subunit ribosomal RNA", at positions 521 to 796 of the family's 1533-position model. The record is from RNAcentral. Lineage: Bacteria; Pseudomonadati; Pseudomonadota; Betaproteobacteria; Nitrosomonadales.
UAAUACGUAGGGUGCGAGCGUUAAUCGGAAUUACUGGGCGUAAAGCGUGCGCAGGUGGUUUUGUAAGUCAGAUGUGAAAGCCCCGGGCUCAACCUGGGAACUGCGUUUGAAACUACAAGACUAGAGUGUGGCAGAGGGGGGUGGAAUUCCGCGUGUAGCAGUGAAAUGCGUAGAGAUGUGGAGGAACACCGAUGGCGAAGGCAGCCCCCUGGGUCAACACUGACGCUCAGGCACGAAAGCAUGGGGAGCAAACAGGAUUAGAUACCCUGGUAGUCC